RNAcentral lists this ribosomal RNA (168 nucleotides) under uncultured rumen bacterium. Its description in RNAcentral is "partial 16S ribosomal RNA". It matches the Rfam family "Bacterial small subunit ribosomal RNA", at positions 340 to 524 of the family's 1533-position model. The record is from RNAcentral.
UACGGGAGGCAGCAGUGGGGGAUAUUGCGCAAUGGGGGAAACCCUGACGCAGCGACGCCGCGUGGAGGAAGAAGGUUUUCGGAUUGUAAACUCCUGUCAACAGGGACGAGGAAGGACGGUACCUGUGGAGGAAGCCACGGCUAACUACGUGCCAGCAGCCGCGGUAAU